Molecule: unclassified non-coding RNA, 345 nt
Organism: Ursus americanus (American black bear)
Lineage: Eukaryota; Metazoa; Chordata; Mammalia; Carnivora; Ursidae
Gene: 7SK
Rfam family: 7SK RNA
About the family: 7SK was discovered as an abundant small nuclear RNA in the mid-70s but a possible function has only recently been suggested. Two independent studies have found that 7SK RNA binds the CDK9/cyclin T complex (known as elongation factor P-TEFb). P-TEFb activates transcription by phosphorylating the C-terminal domain of RNA polymerase II.
Source: Ensembl
GGAAGUGAGGGCAAUCUGGCUACAACUUCUAUCACCCCAUUGAUUUCAGGGUUGAUGUGGCUGAUCCGGCUGGCUAGGCCAAUGUCUCCUUUCUCCUCCCUCACUGCUCCAUGUGCAUCCCUCCUGAAGGUUCAUGCUCAAGGGGGUGGUGUGAAGUGGAUGACCUUCCCCAGUAGAGGAGGACCGGAGGACAGAUCUUCCAUCAAGGGUAUAGGAAUUGCGGUGCUUUCCUGCUAGACCCUCCAAACAAGCUCUCAAGGUCCAUUUGCAGGAGAAUGUAGUGAAGCUUCCAAGACUCCAGACAUAUCCAAAUGCGUUGCUGCAUGUGGCGGCCUGCCNNNNNNN